CCUACGGGUGGCAGCAGUGAGGAAUAUUGGUCAAUGGGCGCGAGCCUGAACCAGCCAAGUCGCGUGAGGGAAGACGGUCCUAUGGAUUGUAAACCUCUUUUGCCGGGGAGCAAAAGACGCCACGUGUGUCGUUCCGAGCGUACCCGAAGAAAAAGCAUCGGCUAACUCCGUGCCAGCAGCCGCGGUAAUCCGGAGGAGGCGAGCGUUAUCCGGAUUUAUUGGGUUUAAAGGGUCCGCAGGCGGAAGCUCAAGUCGGCGGGAAAAUUUACAGGCUCAACCUCUUCGGGCCGUUGAAACUGUGUACCUUGAGUGCGCGAAGGGUAGGCGGAAUGCGUGGUGUAGCGGUGAAAUGCAUAGAUAUCACGCAGAACUCCGAUCGCGAAGGCAGCCUACCGGCGCGCAACUGACGCUCAUGCACGAAAGCGUGGGUAUCGAACAGGAUUAGAUACCCCUGUAGUC
RNAcentral lists this ribosomal RNA (459 nucleotides) under uncultured bacterium. Its description in RNAcentral is "partial 16S ribosomal RNA". It matches the Rfam family "Bacterial small subunit ribosomal RNA", at positions 338 to 795 of the family's 1533-position model. The record is from RNAcentral.